This 34-nucleotide transfer RNA is filed under the name Geranoaetus polyosoma polyosoma. RNAcentral describes it as "Buteo polyosoma polyosoma partial tRNA-Glu". RNAcentral also lists the same sequence under 2 other names. The record is from RNAcentral. Lineage: Eukaryota; Metazoa; Chordata; Aves; Accipitriformes; Accipitridae.
AAAAAUCGCCGUUGUAUACUUCAACUACAGAAAC